RNAcentral lists this ribosomal RNA (354 nucleotides) under Methanobacteriota archaeon. Its description in RNAcentral is "bacterial SSU rRNA". It matches the Rfam family "Archaeal small subunit ribosomal RNA", at positions 1 to 358 of the family's 1478-position model. The record is from RNAcentral. Lineage: Archaea; Methanobacteriati; Methanobacteriota.
AAAUCUGGUUGAUCCUGCCAGAGGCGACCGCUUUUGGAGUUCGAUUAAGCCAUGCGAGUAGAAAGAAAUUAGAUUCUUUGCGAACUGCUCAGUAACACGUGGAUAACCUGCCCUAUGCUCCGGAAUAACCUCGGGAAACUGAGAAUAAUACCGGAUAGAUCACAACGCCUGGAACGGUGUGUGGUUCAAAGGUCACGGCAUAGGAUGGGUCUGCGGCGUAUCAGGUCGUAGGGGGUGUAAAGGACCUCCUAGCCAUCGACGCGUACGGGUGUUGGGAGACAUAGCCCGGAGAUGGAUUCUGAGACACGAAUCCAGACCCUACGGGGUGCAGCAGGCGCGAAAACUUCACACUGC